GCAAGUCGAGCGGACAGAAGGGAGCUUGCUCCCGGAUGUUACGGCGGACGGUGAGUAGACGUGUUUGCCCUGCCUGUAAGACUGUUUUAACUCCGGGAUGCCGGACCUAAAUUCGGAUAGUUCCUUGCUCCGCAUGGUUCAAGUAUGAACUGCGAUCUGACUGACAAUGCUUAUUGACCCUCGGCGCACUUUGAGUUGGUGGGCCCUGGGUCCCGACCGGGGCAACGCGUUGGCGAUCUGGGAGGGUCAGGGAACGAUGAUCUACCGACAUCCCCCCCUUCCUCCGGGGGGGGCAGCCUAGGGAAUCUUCCGCACUGGACGAAAGUCUGACGGAGCAACCCCGCGUGACUGAUGAUGGUUUUCAGAUCAUAAAGCACUGUUGCGAGGGAAGAACAAGUGCAAGAGUAACUGGUCGCUUUUUGACCGAACCUAAACCGAUAGCCACGGCUAUGUACGAGCCAGCAGCCG
RNAcentral lists this ribosomal RNA (468 nucleotides) under Bacillus pumilus. RNAcentral's name for it is "bacterial SSU rRNA". It matches the Rfam family "Bacterial small subunit ribosomal RNA", at positions 57 to 517 of the family's 1533-position model. Lineage: Bacteria; Bacillati; Bacillota; Bacilli; Caryophanales; Bacillaceae. The record is from RNAcentral.